Molecule: non-coding RNA, 1484 nt
Organism: Capsicum annuum
Lineage: Eukaryota; Viridiplantae; Streptophyta; Magnoliopsida; Solanales; Solanaceae
Source: Rfam
CUCAUAGGGAGUUCGAUCCUGGAUCAAGAUGAACACUGGCGGCAUGCUUAACACAUGCAAGUCGGAUGAAAAACAUGGGAAACGGUGUUUCCAGUGGCAGACGGGUGAGUAACGCGUAAAAACCUGCCCUUGGGAGGGGAACGGCUGCUAAUACCCCGUAGACUGAGGAGCUAAAGGAGGAAUCCGCCAGAGGAGGGGCUCGCGUCUGAUUUGCUAGUUGGUAAGGCAAUAGCUUACCAAGGCAAUGAUUAGUAGCUGGUCCGAGAGGAUGAUCAGCCACACUGGGACUGAGACAUGGCCCAGACUCUUACGAGAGGCAGUAGUGGGGAAUUUUCUGCAAUGGGCAAAAGCCUAAUGGAGCAAUGCCGCGUGGAGGUAGAUGGCCCAUGAGUUGUGAACUUCUUUUCCCGGAGAAGAAGCAAUGAUGGUAUGUGAGGAAUAAGCAUCGACUAACUCUAUGCCAGCCGCCCCAGUAAUAUAGAGGAUGCAAGGUUAUCCGGAAUGAUUAGGCAUAAAGCGUCUGUAGGUGGAUUUUUAAGUCUGCCGUCAAAUCCCAGGGCUUAACCCUGGAUAGGCAGUGGAAACUACCAAGCUAGAGUAUGGUAGGGGCAGAGGGAAUUUCUGGUGGAGCGGUGAAAUGCGUAGAGAUCGGAAAGAACACCAAUGACGAAAGCACUUUUCUAGGUCGACACUGACACUAAGAGAUGAAAGAUAGGGGAGCGAAUGGGAUUAGAUACCCCAGUAGUCCUAGCCAUAAACGAUGAAUACUAGGCACUGUGCGUAUCGACCCGUGCAGUGCUGUAGCUAAUGUGUUAAGUAUCCCGCUUGGGGAUUACGUUCACAAGAAUGAAACUCAAAGGAAUUGAUGGGGCCCGCACAAGUAGUGGAGCAUGUGGUUUAAUUUGAUGCAAAGAGAAGAACCUUACCAGGGCUUGACAUGCCGUGAAUCCUCUUGAAAGAGAGAGGUGCCUUCAGGAACACGGACACAGGUGGUGUAUGGCUAUCGUCAGCUCAUGCCGUAACGUAUUGGGUUAAGUCCCACAAUAAGAGAAACCCUCGUGUUUAGUUGCCAUCGUUGAGUAUGGAACUCUGAACGGACUGUCGGUGAUAAGCCGGAGAAAGGUGAGGAUGACGUCAAGUCAUCAUGGCCCAUAUGCCCUGGGCGACACACGUGCUACAAUAGCCGGGACCAAGGGUUCCGAUCCCAUGAGGGUGAGCUAACCCCAAAAACCCAUCCUUAAUUCAGAUUGCAGGCUGCAACUCGCCUGCAUGAAGCCAAAAUUGCUAGUAAUCGCCGGUCAGCCAUAUGGCGGUGAAUUCGUUACCGGGCCUUGUACACACUGCCCGUCACACUAUGAGAGCUAGCCAUGCCCGAAGUCGUUACCUUAACUGCAAUGAGGGGGAUGCCAAAGGCAGGGCUAGUGAGUGGAGUGAAGUGGUAACAAGGUAGCCGUACUGGAAGGUGCGGCUGGAUCACCUCCUUU